GCCGGUCCUCGGUAGUGGCCCCCGGUUGGGAUACGGCACGUGCCGUACCUGCGGCAACCGGGCGCUUCGAUCGAAGACCGGC
Regulatory RNA element from Thermobispora bispora DSM 43833, 82 nucleotides. It matches the Rfam family "Actino-pnp RNA". Lineage: Bacteria; Bacillati; Actinomycetota; Actinomycetes; Streptosporangiales; Streptosporangiaceae. The record is from Rfam.